RNAcentral lists this ribosomal RNA (421 nucleotides) under uncultured bacterium. Its description in RNAcentral is "partial 16S ribosomal RNA". It matches the Rfam family "Bacterial small subunit ribosomal RNA", at positions 359 to 773 of the family's 1533-position model. The record is from RNAcentral.
GAUAUGGGACAAUGGGGGCAACCCUGAUCCAGCCAUGCCGCGUGUUUGAAGAAGGACUUCGGAUUGUAAAGCACUUUAAUUAGGGAGGAAGGGCCUUAGGUUAAUACCCUGAAAUUUUGACUUUACCAACAGAAUAAGUACUGGCUAACUCUCUGCCAGCAGCCGCGGUAAUACAUAGGGUGCAAGCGUUAAUCGGAAUUACUGGGCGUAAAGCGCGCGUAGGUGGUUCAGUAAGAUGGGUGUGAAAUCCCCGGGCUUAACCUGGGAACUGCUUUCAUAACUGCUGAGCUAGAGUACGGUAGAGGGUAGUGGAAUUUCCUGUGUAGCGGUGAAAUGCGUAGAUAUAGGAAGGAACACCAGUGGCGAAGGCGACUACCUGGACUGAUACUGACACUGAGGUGCGAAAGCGUGGGGAGCAAAC